AUGAAUAACAUGUAGUGCUCAAAACAAUUAAAUACUUCUUAGAAAAUCGUAACUAAAUUAAUUGAAACCAGCUACUCGAGGCUCUUAAAAUCAACACGGGUUUGUAAACCAAUAUUGCGCUACAUUUCCGUGCUGAAUUGACGACCGCGCGGUAACACGGGUUUGGAAACCAAUAUUAAGAAACAUUUCCGUGCUGAUUUCACGACCACGCGGUGUUGAAAUGAACACGGAAACGUAAAUACGCAUCCCGAAGCUAAAGAGCCUCCCGUUCGGAUUUCCGGGUGGAAGGAAAAAUUUAAGUGUAGAUCUAUCUCUAGCAAAGAAGAAAGUAAACUCGGAAACAACCACGGUUCAUACGUUAUAUCCUGGCUACCACCUUCACACUCGAUUUAGGCACAACUUCGGAUUCACCGUCUUCAUUAGAAACGAUAUAUCUUGCCAGCGAGAUGAAGCUCUAAAGCCCCCAAGAUUACUUACCAAUACAUUCUACAGAAGGCUUUUCACCGACUUCGCUAAAAGAAUCGACGAUGUACGGCAAGCAGACCAUCUAAGUGGAGAAAUUGAUGUUACGGCAGACUUUAACUCAACAAUGCCAAAUGGUUGAUGUAUUCUAAUAGGACUGACAAUGAGGGGCCUUAAGCAAAAGACUUUGCGAUUAGUCACGAGAAGCCAACACGAAUCCUGCUAGACUUCUGGAUCUCUGUCGCGUCGGAUCCUGACUCGUACGUGCGCUAUUAGGCACAUCACAAGACUAUAAAUGAAUAAUCGCAACAUGCGAACUAGAAAUGAAAUAUCUACUCUUAAUCUACUACAAUUUUCUUUGGUGUAUUACGAUGAGAGAAAUAAUGUCUUAAUUUAUUAAUGACGGUCGUAGCAUUUUUAUCUGAAAUAUAAUAUGCUUGAGCAUA
Anthonomus grandis grandis is the source of this 908-nucleotide long non-coding RNA. RefSeq lists it as uncharacterized. The transcript has 3 exons. The record is from RefSeq and is a predicted model, not a curated record. NCBI's taxonomy places the organism in Eukaryota, Metazoa, Arthropoda, Insecta, Coleoptera, Curculionidae.